UACGGAGGGUGCAAGCGUUAUCCGGAUUCACUGGUUAAAGGGUGCGUAGGAGGGCAGGUAAGUCAGUGGUGAAAUCUCCGAGCUUAACUUGGAACUGCCGUUGAUGACUAUCUGCCUUGAUAUUGUGGAGGUGAGCGGAAUGAUGUCAUGUAGCGGUGAAAUGCUUAGAUAUGACAUAGAACACCAAUUGCGAAGGCAGCUCG
RNAcentral lists this ribosomal RNA (203 nucleotides) under uncultured bacterium. Its description in RNAcentral is "partial 16S ribosomal RNA". It matches the Rfam family "Bacterial small subunit ribosomal RNA", at positions 524 to 728 of the family's 1533-position model. The record is from RNAcentral.